AGAUUGAACGCUGGCGGCAUGCCUAACACAUGCAAGUCGAACGGGAGUAGCAAUACUCUAGUGGCGGACGGGUGAGGAAUACGUAGGAAUUUGCCCUUAAGUGGGGGAUAACCCGGGGAAACCCGGAUUAAUACCGCAUGACCUCGAAAGAGCAAAGUGGGGGAUCGCAAGACCUCACGCUUUUGGAGAAGCCUACGUCGGAUUAGCUAGUUGGUGAGGUAUGGCUCACCAAGGCGACGAUCCGUAACUGGUCUGAGAGGAUGACCAGUCACACCGGAACUGACGACUACCGGUCCGACUUCCCGACGGGAGCAGCGAGGUGGGAAUUGUGGACAGUGGGCACAAGCCGUAGACU
This 355-nucleotide ribosomal RNA is filed under the name uncultured soil bacterium. Its description in RNAcentral is "bacterial SSU rRNA". It matches the Rfam family "Bacterial small subunit ribosomal RNA", at positions 26 to 390 of the family's 1533-position model. The record is from RNAcentral.